Molecule: ribosomal RNA, 407 nt
Filed under: uncultured bacterium
Lineage: Bacteria
Description: partial 16S ribosomal RNA
Rfam family: Bacterial small subunit ribosomal RNA
Source: RNAcentral
GACGAACGCUGGCGGCGUGCCUAAUACAUGCAAGUAGGACGCAGUUGCGAACGGGUGAGUAACGCGUAGGUAACUACCUAUUAGAGGGGGAUAACUAUUGGAAACGAUAGCUAAUACCGCAUACUAGUAGAUGGACCUGCGUUGUAGUAGCUAGUAGGUAGGGUAAUGGCCUAACUAGGCAACGAUUCAUAGCCGACCUGGGAGGGGGUACGGGCACACUUGGAAUGGGACAAGGGCCAGAACCCUUAGGGGGGGAGGCGUAGGGAAACUUUGGACAUGGGGGGAAACCUGACCGCACACAGCCCCGUGAGUGGAAAAGGUUUUCGGGUCGUAAAGCUCUGUUGUGAAGGAAGCGGUACUUAACCAGAAAGGGACGGCUAACUACGUGCCAGCAGCCGCGGUAAUUC